This is a non-coding RNA of Pelobates cultripes (western spadefoot toad), 291 nucleotides long. The record is from the annotation of a GenBank genome assembly. NCBI's taxonomy places the organism in Eukaryota, Metazoa, Chordata, Amphibia, Anura, Pelobatidae.
CAUAUCUUAGUGUCAUCAGCAAAAAGACAUACCGUACCAUCAAGACCUUCUGCAAUAUCACUAAUAAAAAUAUUAAAGAGAAUGGGUGCAAGUACAGAUCCCUGAGGUACCCCACUGGUGACAAGUCCAAGCUUCGAAUAUAUUCCAUUAACUACAACCCUCUGCUGCCUGUCACUCAGCCACUGCCUUACCCAUUCAAUAACAUGGAAUCCAAUAUCAAUAUCGAGUGGGGAUUGUAAAGAGCUUGCUUUGAUGAAUAUUUUUCUCUAGUGCAGAAUAUGAAUGUCAAAU